AUUUGGUGUGGGGGAAGGUGGUGUGCGUGUCAAUGGUGGUGACAUGACAUGCCCUCUUUCUGGCCCCGCCCCUAAUAGUGGGCUGAUCUGCCUUUAAUUGCCCGGGCUGAAUUUUUGUCCCAGUCCGGCCCUGGUCGGGGGGGCUAUGGAUUUAUCACUAUGGAUGGGACGGGUGUCGUGGGGGUGGGGGCUAUGGAUUUAUCACUAUGGAUGGGACGGGUGUCUGUGGGGGGCUAUGGAUUUAUCACUAUGGAUGGGAUGGGACUAUGGAUUU
This is a non-coding RNA of Pelobates cultripes (western spadefoot toad), 274 nucleotides long. The record is from the annotation of a GenBank genome assembly. Lineage: Eukaryota; Metazoa; Chordata; Amphibia; Anura; Pelobatidae.